This 253-nucleotide ribosomal RNA is filed under the name uncultured bacterium. RNAcentral describes it as "partial 16S ribosomal RNA". It matches the Rfam family "Bacterial small subunit ribosomal RNA", at positions 524 to 776 of the family's 1533-position model. The record is from RNAcentral.
UACGAAGGGGGCUAGCGUUACUCGGAUUGACUGGGCGUAAAGGGUGCGUAGGCGGCGCGGUAAGUCGGGUGUGAAAUCUCGGAGCUUAACUCCGAAACUGCAUUCGAUACUGCCGUGCUUGAGGACUGGAGAGGAGACUGGAAUUUACGGUGUAGCGGUGAAAUGCGUAGAUAUCGUAAGGAAGACCAGUGGCGAAGGCGGGUCUCUGGACAGUUCCUGACGCUGAGGCACGAAGGCCAGGGGAGCAAACGGG